GACGAACGCUGGCGGCGUGCUUAACACAUGCAAGUCGAACGGUGAAAGCGGAGCUUGCUCCGCUGGAUCAGUGGCGAACGGGUGAGUAACACGUGGGCAACCUGCCCCUCACUUCGGGAUAACUCCGGGAAACCGGGGCUAAUACCGGAUAUGACCUCCUUGGGCAUCCUUGGAGGUGGAAAGUUUUUCGGUGAGGGAUGGGCCCGGGGCCUAUCAGCUUGUUGGUGAGGUAGUGGCUUACCAAGGGGACGACGGGUAGCCGGCCUGAGAGGGCGACCGGCCACACUGGGACUGAGACACGGCCCAGACUCCUACGGGAGGCAGCAGUGGGGAAUAUUGCGCAAUGGGCGAAAGCCUGACGCAGCAACGCCGCGUGCGGGAUGACGGCCUUCGGGUUGUAAACCGCUUUCAGCAGGGAAGAAGCCGCAAGGUGACGGUACCUGCAGAAGAAGCACCGGCUAACUACGUGCCAGCCGCCGCGGUAA
RNAcentral lists this ribosomal RNA (485 nucleotides) under uncultured bacterium. RNAcentral's name for it is "partial 16S ribosomal RNA". It matches the Rfam family "Bacterial small subunit ribosomal RNA", at positions 28 to 523 of the family's 1533-position model. The record is from RNAcentral.